This 260-nucleotide long non-coding RNA is filed under the name Elaeis guineensis (African oil palm). Its description in RNAcentral is "long non-coding RNA (EGUI_LNC018617)". Lineage: Eukaryota; Viridiplantae; Streptophyta; Magnoliopsida; Arecales; Arecaceae. The record is from RNAcentral.
AGUUCAUAUCAACCAAAAAGAUAUAAUUUCAAUCAAAAUACAGCAAGAUAUGAUAUUGAGUUUACAUAACUCAUAAAUAUAUAAAGUCAGCCAAAUACAUCAAUACAUAUACAAGUAGUCAACAUCCAUAGUUUCAUCCACAAAAUAUAACAUAAUACAAGGACUAAUCAUCAGAAUCAGAGGAAGAAAUCUCAUGAUAAACAAAAAAAUGAGAUGAGGCACGACCACAUCAUCCUGGGCUCCUACUAGAGGAUCUGGCA